GGCUUAACCUGGGAACUGCAUUUGAAACUGGCAGGCUAGAGUCUUGUAGAGGGGGGUAGAAUUCCAGGUGUAGCGGUGAAAUGCGUAGAGAUCUGGAGGAAUACCGGUGGCGAAGGCGGCCCCCUGGACAAAGACUGACGCUCAGGUGCGAAAGCGUGGGGAGCGAAACAGGAUUAGAUACCCUGGUAGUCCACGCCGUAAACGAUGUCGACUUGGAGGUUGUGCCCUUGAGGCGUGGCUUCCGGAGCUAACGCGUUAAGUCGACCGCCUGGGGAGUACGGCCGCAAGGUUAAAACUCAAAUGAAUUGACGGGGGCCCGCACAAGCGGUGGAGCAUGUGGUUUAAUUCGAUGCAACGCGAAGAACCUUACCUGGCCUUGACAUCCACGGAAUUCGGCAGAGAUGCCUUAGUGCCUUCGGGAACCGUGAGACAGGUGCUGCAUGGCUGUCGUCAGCUCGUGUUGUGAAAUGUUGGGUUAAGUCCCGCAACGAGCGCAACCCUUAUCCUUUGUUGCCAGCGCGUGAUGGCGGGAACUCAAAGGAGACUGCCGGUGACAAACCGGAGGAAGGUGGGGAUGACGUCAAGUCAUCAUGGCCCUUACGGCCAGGGCUACACACGUGCUACAAUGGCGCAUACAAAGAGAAGCGACCUCGCGAGAGCAAGCGGACCUCAUAAAGUGCGUCGUAGUCCGGAUCGGAGUCUGCAACUCGACUCCGUGAAGUCGGAAUCGCUAGUAAUCGUAGAUCAGAACGCUACGGUGAAUACGUUCCCGGGCCUUGUACACACCGCCCGUCACACCAUGGGAGUGGGUUGCAAAAGAAGUAGGUAGCUUAACCUCCGGGAGGGCGCUUACCACUUUGUGAUUCAUGACUGGGGUGAAGUCGUAACAAGGUAACC
This 897-nucleotide ribosomal RNA is filed under the name uncultured Erwinia sp. RNAcentral describes it as "bacterial SSU rRNA". It matches the Rfam family "Bacterial small subunit ribosomal RNA", at positions 606 to 1501 of the family's 1533-position model. Lineage: Bacteria; Pseudomonadati; Pseudomonadota; Gammaproteobacteria; Enterobacterales; Erwiniaceae. The record is from RNAcentral.